RNAcentral lists this transfer RNA (68 nucleotides) under marine eukaryotic metagenome. It matches the Rfam family "tRNA". From Rfam's summary of the family: Transfer RNA (tRNA) molecules are approximately 80 nucleotides in length. Their secondary structure includes four short double-helical elements and three loops (D, anti-codon, and T loops). Further hydrogen bonds mediate the characteristic L-shaped molecular structure. tRNAs have two regions of fundamental functional importance: the anti-codon, which is responsible for specific mRNA codon recognition, and the 3' end, to which the tRNAs corresponding amino acid is attached (by aminoacyl-tRNA synthetases). tRNAs cope with the degeneracy of the genetic code in two manners: having more than one tRNA (with a specific anti-codon) for a particular amino acid; and 'wobble' base-pairing, i.e. permitting non-standard base-pairing at the 3rd anti-codon position. The record is from RNAcentral.
GCACAUAGCUCAGUUGGUAGAGCUCUCGCCUUUUAAGCGAGCGGUCACAGGUUCGAAUCCUGUUGUGC